Molecule: long non-coding RNA, 301 nt
Organism: Andrographis paniculata
Lineage: Eukaryota; Viridiplantae; Streptophyta; Magnoliopsida; Lamiales; Acanthaceae
Exons: 3
Source: RefSeq, a predicted model, not a curated record
CGUGGAUAAGAUUUUUAGAUAAAAUUUAAGAGAAGAUUACGUGAUCGCACCAUACGUAUUCGAAAUGAAAUGGAUUGUGGCCAGAAACAAGCAAGGCGACAAGCACAUGCAAAGUAAGGUAGGAUUCAAGUGACUUUAUUGCAAUAUAAGGAUUCAAGUAUGAAUUUUAUUGAAGCAGAAACAAACAUAGAGGGCAUAACCAAGCAAACAAGACCACAUGCCUUCAACUCUUUUUAUUUUAUUUUAUUUUUUUUUUUUGUGGAAUGAAUUUCUUCAAUUUUAACUCCUGUCGGGAUUAUAU